GUAUAUACGUCGAGGGAGCCGAGUCUGUUCUCGCAGAAUAUUUGGGGGGUAAAGAGCGAGGUACGCGUUUUUUUUUUAAAUCUUGAUGUAGAAAACCCCCCCGCUCACCCCGGGGAGAGGUCUCUUGAAACUGUGAAAUCUUGUGUGCACAAGAAGAGGAAGAGUGAAUUUCACGUGUGUCGCGUGAGAUAUCGCAGAGAUAUGGAGGGACACCCCCUGUGGGAAAGGGCGUCUCUGGUCUGUAUAAGUCGCGGAUGUGCGAAAAAGCGGGGAUCAAACAGAAGUAUAUAUCCCCGGUAUUCCACGCCCUAUAAGAUAUGAGUUAAAUGUUUUGGGGUUUUUCCCCCCUAGAGUUGCAGAGCAAGCACAAAACACUCUCCCUGGGGAGUGCGCGCGCAAGGGUGAAAAUCAAAGGAAAUGUCGGGGGGCCGCACACACGGGGGAGCACGUGGUUUAAUUUGAAGCACAACGAAGAACCUCUUCAAAUCUUUACAUCCUUUGACAACUCUAGAGAUAGAGCCUUUCCCUUUGGGGGACAAAGUGACAGGUGGUGCAUGGUUGUCGUCAGCUCGUGUCGUGAGAUGUUGGGUUAAGUCCCGCAACGAGCGCAACCCUUAAGCUUAGUUGCCAUCAUUAAGUUGGGCCUCUUAAGUUGACUGCCGGUGACAAACCGGAGGAAGGUGGGGAUGACGUCAAAUCAUCAUCCCCUUUAGGAUUUGGGCUACACACGUGUUCCAAUGGACAAUCCAAAGGGCAGUGAAACCGGGAGGUCAAGCAAUUUCCAUAAAGUUGUUUUCAUUUGGGAUGCUGGUUGCCAAUUGGAUUCCAGGAACCGGGAUUCGUUGGUAUUGGGGGUUCACCAUGCUCGGGGGAAUCGGUUCCGGGCUUUGGUCCCCCCCCCCGGUCCCCCCAGGAGAGUUGGUACCACCCGAAGUCCGGGGGAGUAACCAUUUGGAGCCAGCCGCCGAAUU
This 971-nucleotide ribosomal RNA is filed under the name Staphylococcus haemolyticus. RNAcentral describes it as "partial 16S ribosomal RNA". It matches the Rfam family "Bacterial small subunit ribosomal RNA". The record is from RNAcentral. Lineage: Bacteria; Bacillati; Bacillota; Bacilli; Caryophanales; Staphylococcaceae.